UGGGGAAUAUUGCACAAUGGGCGCAAGCCUGAUGCAGCCAUGCCGCGUGUAUGAAGAAGGCCUUCGGGUUGUAAAGUACUUUCAGCGGGGAGGAAGGUGUUGAGGUUAAAACCUCAGCAAUUGACGUUACCCGCAGAAGAAGCACCGGCUAACUCCGUGCCAGCAGCCGCGGUAAUACGGAGGGUGCAAGCGUUAAUCGGAAUUACUGGGCGUAAAGCGCACGCAGGCGGUCUGUCAAGUCGGAUGUGAAAUCCCCGGGCUCAACCUGGGAACUGCAUUCGAAACUGGCAGGCUAGAGUCUUGUAGAGGGGGGUAGAAUUCCAGGUGUAGCGGUGAAAUGCGUAGAGAUCUGGAGGAAUACCGGUGGCGAAGGCGGCCCCCUGGACAAAGACUGACGCUCAGGUGCGAAAGCGUGGGGAGCAAACA
RNAcentral lists this ribosomal RNA (426 nucleotides) under uncultured bacterium. RNAcentral describes it as "partial 16S ribosomal RNA". It matches the Rfam family "Bacterial small subunit ribosomal RNA", at positions 355 to 774 of the family's 1533-position model. The record is from RNAcentral.